GUGCCAGCAGCCGCGGUAAUACGGGGGGAGCAAGCGUUGUCCGGAAUCAUUGGGCGUAAAGGGCGUGUAGGCGGUUUGGCAAGUCGAAUGUGAAAUCCCACGGCUCAACCGUGGAACUGCGUUCGAAACUGCCUGACUUGAGUGCGGGAGAGGUGUGCGGAAUUCCUGGUGUAGCGGUGGAAUGCGUAGAUAUCAGGAAGAACACCGGUGGCGAAGGCGGCACACUGGCCCAGCACUGACGCUGAGGCGCGAAAGCGUGGGGAGCGAACGGGAUUAGAUACCCGCGUAGUCC
RNAcentral lists this ribosomal RNA (292 nucleotides) under uncultured bacterium. Its description in RNAcentral is "partial 16S ribosomal RNA". It matches the Rfam family "Bacterial small subunit ribosomal RNA", at positions 505 to 796 of the family's 1533-position model. The record is from RNAcentral.